This 468-nucleotide ribosomal RNA is filed under the name uncultured bacterium. RNAcentral's name for it is "partial 16S ribosomal RNA". It matches the Rfam family "Bacterial small subunit ribosomal RNA", at positions 28 to 507 of the family's 1533-position model. The record is from RNAcentral.
GACGAACGCUGGCGGCGUGCUUAACACAUGCAAGUCGAACGGAAAGGCCCUGCUUUUGUGGGGUGCUCGAGUGGCGAACGGGUGAGUAACACGUGAGUAACCUGCCCUUGACUUUGGGAUAACUUCAGGAAACUGGGGCUAAUACCGGAUAGGAGCUCCUGCUGCAUGGUGGGGGUUGGAAAGUUUCGGCGGUUGGGGAUGGACUCGCGGCUUAUCAGCUUGUUGGUGGGGUAGUGGCUUACCAAGGCUUUGACGGGUAGCCGGCCUGAGAGGGUGACCGGCCACAUUGGGACUGGGAUACGGCCCAGACUCCUACGGGAGGCAGCAGUGGGGAAUAUUGCACAAUGGGCGGAAGCCUGAUGCAGCAACGCCGCGUGCGGGAUGACGGCCUUCGGGUUGUAAACCGCUUCCGCCUGUGACGAAGCGUGAGUGACGGUAAUGGGUAAAGAAGCACCGGCUAACUACGUG